RNAcentral lists this unclassified non-coding RNA (241 nucleotides) under Hevea brasiliensis (rubber tree). The record is from RNAcentral. Lineage: Eukaryota; Viridiplantae; Streptophyta; Magnoliopsida; Malpighiales; Euphorbiaceae.
GCCCCAAUGACAUUCUUGUAAGCAACAGAGAGGAGAUUCCUCUCCUCAACAGUCAGCUCCUCGACAUCUACAGUCUUGGCAACUUUCUCCAUGAACUCUACCAUUUCCUCAUAUCGUUCAGCCUGUUCGGCCAACUUGGCCAUGUAAACAUUUUCCUCCCGUGAAGAAUCAACAGGCGACAUCUUCAAUGUAAUAAACUAUUAAUUCUCUCGAGAAAAUCGAGCCCAGAGAGAGAGAGAUU